AAACAUCAAGACUCGUCCGUUCUUUAACACCUAAGAGCAAAUCAUGGCCAUGGCUCCACCCUUCAAUGGAAGAAGAUGGUGAGAAAUACUCGAGAAGAAAAAGGCAGGUAGCUCCUGAAGGAUGCUUCUCUGUGUACGUUGGACCCCAGAAACAGAGGUUUGUGAUCAAGACUGAAUAUGCAAAUCACCCACUUUUCAAGAUUCUACUUGAAGAAGCAGAAUCAGAAUAUGGUUACAACCCAGAAGGCAAGGCCCUCUUGCUCUCCCAUGCAACGUUGAUCUCUUCUACGAGGUGCUUGUGGCUAUGGAUGAUCAUAGUGAUGAAACCAAUCCUAAGGGAUGUGGCUUCUCCAUGAAUCAUGGCUCCUAUCGCCUUCUCAGCCCCGCUCGAAUGAUCGCUAUGAAUAAAUUCUAAAAGCUGAAGAGUAUUUUCGAGUCAACUUUCAACACAAUAUAAGAAGAAAAAAGGCAUUUUAAUCUGUGGCUUUUGUGCUUGUUUAAAUUAAUCUUGUUCAAAAUCAAGUAUAUGCAUGGUGAAAUCAUGUACAGUAGAAGAGGAUAAGCAAAAAAUAAUCAAAAUCCAGG
Molecule: unclassified non-coding RNA, 585 nt
Filed under: Hevea brasiliensis (rubber tree)
Lineage: Eukaryota; Viridiplantae; Streptophyta; Magnoliopsida; Malpighiales; Euphorbiaceae
Source: RNAcentral